UACGUAGGUGGCAAGCGUUGUCCGGAUUUACUGGGUGUAAAGGGCGUGUAGCCGGAGUUACAAGUCAGAUGUGAAAUCCUCAGGCUUAACCUGGGAACUGCAUUUGAAACUGUAGCCCUUGAGUAUCGGAGAGGUCAUCGGAAUUCCUUGUGUAGCGGUGAAAUGCGUAGAUAUAAGGAAGAACACCAGUGGCGAAGGCGGAUGACUGGACGACAACUGACGGUGAGGCGCGAAAGCGUGGGGAGCGAACAGGAUUAGAUACCCUGGUAGUCCACGCUGUAAACGAUGGAUACUAGGUGUGCGGGGACUGACCCCCUGCGUGCCGCAGUUAACACAAUAAGUAUCCCACCUGGGGAGUGCGAUCGCAAGGUUGAA
RNAcentral lists this ribosomal RNA (375 nucleotides) under uncultured bacterium. RNAcentral describes it as "bacterial SSU rRNA". It matches the Rfam family "Bacterial small subunit ribosomal RNA", at positions 524 to 898 of the family's 1533-position model. The record is from RNAcentral.